CAAAAAUUUUGUGACUUCGAGAAACUUUGUACAAUCAAUCAACGAAACUAGAAUUCCAUAAUCAUAAGAGAAGAGUUAUGAAGCCCAAUCAGUAUAUUAAAGUAAGACUGACAUAAUUACAUUAGAUUCAGGUACAAGGUUCAAGACAGAGAACUCUAAAUUCCGCUUCCUAAAACUAAAUGAAGAACCUAGAGCUAAAAUCCUAAAAACUGCAAAAAAAUUCACGAGUCUUUCGAAUCACCAAACCAUCCUGAAAAUGGCAGAGAUUAACCCCUUGUGUUUCUCCUCAUUAUUCUGGGCACUAGAAGACCAAUGGAGUUGUUCAAACUCUGGAGUUGAAGCUCUUGUUCAAGUUUGAAAUCCAGAGCUCAAGCUAGCUGAACCUGAAACCGCAAAAACAGAUUGAUAACAACACAGUAUGCCAAACUAACAAUAUCCUUAAUCAACACACCCUAACUUCCAAAACAAAUUCUCAUUCCAUAGCAUUAUACCAUAUUGAACACCGAAAACAAUACGAAAGAACUCAAAUUGAUAUACAUUUCCUCCUCACUAACACUUUUACUAAGCUUAGCAGUUGGAGGAGCCCUUAAGUUCAAGAACGUGAAGGUAGCUGCAAUGGCACCACAAUCUAACUAGCUAAAACAAGCUUAUUGUAGAAAAAGCACUAAACUAGUAGUAGUAAUAUAUGCUUGUUCAACAGCAGCAACUGUAGUCGAAAUAAUAAACAAGAGAAAGCUCUAGUGUCUGUCUACCAAUGCGCAAACUCCAGAAAAUGUCGUUGUACAACCACCGCAAGCGGGGGAAGUGCAAUGACUUACUCGAUCAACGACUCGCAACCGAUGGACCGCAGAGAGAGAGGCUGAAUCUGAAUUUGGGUAUUCAUCUCCGUCGGGUUCCCGCCGCGGGACACGGCGAAGAUCGAUGUAGGGAUUGAUCCCGGGAAAUCGGUGACUGGCCCAAGUAGUGUUAUGGGCUUAAUGUGGGCUUUCAUAAAUGAUGGGUUAUGUCUAGUAAUAGGCCCUUCUUUCAGGUAUCCACGGGUUUUCGGGUUUUACCGACCCGGAUGGGAUU
This 1071-nucleotide long non-coding RNA is filed under the name Arabidopsis lyrata. Its description in RNAcentral is "long non-coding RNA (ALYR_LNC002826)". The record is from RNAcentral. Lineage: Eukaryota; Viridiplantae; Streptophyta; Magnoliopsida; Brassicales; Brassicaceae.